GCCACACCAGUGAGAUGCAGGCACCUGGCAGACCCUCUGGCUAGCCUGCAGCCCCCCCUCUCCCAGCCCCUGGUGGGCUGCGGUGAUGGGUGUUUUGGGAGAACGAAGACAGCCAGGCUGAUGGCCAGGGCCGCAGUGCCCCUCCCCCCGACCCAGCCCCAAGGUUGAUCCCACGGGAACAGGCUUCCACCCCAGCACUUGCGCACCUGGGAGGGAGCUGCCAUCCGGGCUCCAUUACCUGUUGCUGAAGGCGGGUGCUAGGCUGGCUGGGUGUCAAGGAGCAGGCUCCAGGCCAAGGUCCUGGCCCAGCCACGGCCAUUGCAAGGGCUCAGCCUGGCAGGCUUUGUGGGGGACGCCGCCCUCUCUGCCGCAGGCUGGGUGCACGGCCGGGCACCACAGUGGGACUCAGGCCCGGGAAGGUCAUGUUCUCGACCAGAGCUUUGCUCCCAGUCCAGGCGCCUCAUUCGGAGGCCUCUUGACUGGGACCACAGAGAUGUUUUCUCCGCUCUGACUUGUGGCUCAGGACUACUUUCUGGGUCGUGCUCCUGCCCCACUGUGCCUGGGCCCAUAAACAACAGGAGCCUUUUGUUCCGCUGACCUGCCCAUCCCAGCAGACCCACCUCCCCGCCUGGUGCCUUCCAUGGAGGGAAAUGGGACAGGGGCCGUCAUCUCCCCUCUGCCUCCUGCUUUGCUGUUGCCGAGCACGAGUAAAGCUUUUGUUCUUACUUCACGUGGCUCCU
This 740-nucleotide long non-coding RNA is filed under the name Homo sapiens (human). Its description in RNAcentral is "non-protein coding lnc-RFNG-1:7". Lineage: Eukaryota; Metazoa; Chordata; Mammalia; Primates; Hominidae. The record is from RNAcentral.